RNAcentral lists this ribosomal RNA (485 nucleotides) under uncultured bacterium. RNAcentral's name for it is "partial 16S ribosomal RNA". It matches the Rfam family "Bacterial small subunit ribosomal RNA", at positions 30 to 507 of the family's 1533-position model. The record is from RNAcentral.
AUUGAACGCUGGCGGCAGGCUUAACACAUGCAAGUCGAGCGGGGAAAGGUAGCUUGCUACCUGACCUAGCGGCGGACGGGUGAGUAAUGCUUAGGAAUCUGCCUAUUAGUGGGGGACAACAUCUCGAAAGGGAUGCUAAUACCGCAUACGUCCUACGGGAGAAAGCAGGGGACCUUCGGGCCUUGCGCUAAUAGCUGAGCCUAAGUCGGAUUAGCUAGUUGGUGGGGUAAAGGCCUACCAAGGCGACGAUCUGUAGCGGGUCUGGGAGGAUGAUCCGCCACACUGGGACUGAGACACGGCCCAGACUCCUACGGGAGGCAGCAGUGGGGAAUUUUUGACCAUGGGGGGAACCCUGAUCCAGCCAUGCCGCGUGUGGGAAGAAGGCCUUUUGGUUGUAAAGCACUUUAAGCGAGGAGGAGGCUACCGAGAUUAAUACUCUUGGAUAGUGGACGUUACUCGCAGAAUAAGCACCGGCUAACUCUGUG